RNAcentral lists this ribosomal RNA (253 nucleotides) under uncultured bacterium. RNAcentral describes it as "partial 16S ribosomal RNA". It matches the Rfam family "Bacterial small subunit ribosomal RNA", at positions 524 to 776 of the family's 1533-position model. The record is from RNAcentral.
CACGGGGGGAGCAAGCGUUGUUCGGAAUCACUGGGCGUAAAGGGCGUGUAGGCGGUUUGGUAAGUGAGAUGUGAAAUGCUUCGGCUCACCCGAAGACCUGCAUCUCAAACUGCCGGACUAGAGUAUGGGAGAGGGCAAGGGAAUUCCUGGUGUAGCGGUGAAAUGCGUAGAUAUCAGGAGGAACACCGGUGGCGAAAGCGCUUGUCUGGCCCAAUACUGACGCUGAGGCGCGAAAGCUAGGGGAGCAAACGGG